This 124-nucleotide non-coding RNA is filed under the name Bowdeniella nasicola. RNAcentral's name for it is "Actinomyces nasicola FMN sequence". It matches the Rfam family "FMN riboswitch aptamer (RFN element)". Rfam says of the family: The RFN element is a highly conserved domain that is found frequently in the 5'-untranslated regions of prokaryotic mRNAs that encode for flavin mononucleotide (FMN) biosynthesis and transport proteins. This element is a metabolite-dependent riboswitch that directly binds FMN in the absence of proteins. In Bacillus subtilis, the riboswitch most likely controls gene expression by causing premature transcription termination within the 5' untranslated region of the ribDEAHT operon and precluding access to the ribosome-binding site of ypaA mRNA. The record is from Rfam by way of RNAcentral. Lineage: Bacteria; Bacillati; Actinomycetota; Actinomycetes; Actinomycetales; Actinomycetaceae.
UACGUGCUUCGGGGUCAGUGAAAGUCUGAACCGGCGGUGAUAGUCCGCGACCCGCGCGCCUCGCGCGGUUGAAUCGGUGAAAUUCCGAUACCGACGGUUAAAGUCCGGAUGGGAGAAGCUCGUU